GAAAGUAAGCAAGGGCAGACGGUGGAUGCCUUGGCUCUCGGAGGCGACGAAGGACGUGAUAAGCUGCGAAAAGCCCGGGGGAGGCGCAAAUAGCCCUUGAUCCCGGGAUAUCCGAAUGGGGCAACCCGGCAGGCUGAAGGCCUGUCAUCCCGUAAGGGAGGCGAACGUGGGGAACUGAAACAUCUAAGUACCCAUAGGAGGAGAAAAUAAACAAUGAUUCCGUAAGUAGUGGCGAGCGAACACGGAAGAGCCCAAACCCGUGCCGUCUAGGCGACACGGGGGUUGUAGGACCACGACGUGGCAAGAUAGAGUCAAGUGGAACGCCUUGGAAAAGGCGACGGUAGAGGGUGAUAGUCCCGUACACGACUGACGAUUGAAGCCUAGUGGCAUCCUGAGUAGCGCGGGGCACGAGAAAUCUUGCGUGAAACAGCGGGGCCCAUCCCGUAAGGCUAAAUACUCCCGAGAGACCGAUAGCGAACCAGUACCGUGAGGGAAAGGUGAAAAGAACCCCGAGCAGGGGAGUGAAAUAGACCCUGAACCCGUCUGCCUACAAGCGGUCGGAGCGUUGUUAUGACGUGACGGCGUGCCUUUUGCAUAAUGAACCUACGAGUUACCUUCCCCGGCAAGGUUAAGUACCUAAGGUACGGAGCCGAAGCGAAAGCGAGUCUGAAUAGGGCGGCCAGUCGGGGGGGGUAGACGCGAAACCGAGUGAUCUACCCUUGGCCAGGUUGAAGGUUGGGUAACACCAACUGGAGGACCGGAUGGGUAAGCGUUGAAAAGCUUUCCAAUGAGCUGAGGGUAGGGGUGAAAGGCUAAUCAAACUCGGAGAUAGCUCGUACUCCCCGAAAUGCAUUUAGGUGCAGCCUCUUUAUAGUAUAUCGUGAGGUAGAGCGACUGAUUGGAUGCGAGGGCUUCACCGCCUAUCAAGUCCAGAUAAACUCCGAAUGCGCGAUAUAUAUUUAAAGGGAGUGAGGGCGCGGGUGCUAAGGUCCGUGUCCGAGAGGAGAAGAAUCCAGACCACCGGCUAAGGCCCCCAAAUGAUCGUUAAGUUGAACUAACGAGGUCGGAUCGCAGAGACAGCUAGGAUGUUGGCUUGGAAGCAGCCAUUCAUUUAAAGAGUGCGUAACAGCUCACUAGUCGAGCGAUCUGGCGUGGAUAAUAAUCGGGCAUAAACGAUCUGCCGAAGCCGUGGAUGUCGCAAGACAUGGUAGGGGAGCAUUCCAUGCCGCGUCGAAGAUAAGGGAUGACCCUUGUUGGAGCGCAUGGAAAAGCAAAUGUAGGUAUGAGUAACGAUAAGGGGGGCGAGAAACCCCCCCGCCGAAAGACCAAGGUUUCCUGAUCAACGCUAAUCGGAUCAGGGUGAGUCGGGACCUAAGGCAAAGCCGAACGGCGACGCCGAUGGAAGAAUGGGUUAAUAUUCCCAUACUGCCUCAUGGAGUGACGUGGAGACGGAGAAGUGACAGUCCUGCCGGCUGACGGAAUAGCCGGUUGAAGGGUGUAGGAGUGGAUCAUGGUAGGCAAAUCCGCCGUGAGAUCCGAACCUGAGAGUAUACCGAGUACUUGUACGAGGUAAUAUGGACGUAACCAUGCUCCCAAGAAAAUCCGCUAAACUUAUCCAUGCGGCACCCGUACCGUAAACGGACACACGUGGUCGGGUUGAGAAUACUGAGGCGCUCGAGUGAUUCACGGUUAAGGAACUAGGCAAAUUGACCCUGUAACUUCGGGAUAAAGGGUCCUCGUCGUAAGGCGAGGCGCAGAGAAUAGGUCCAGGCAACUGUUUAACAAAAACACAUGGCUGUGCUAAAUGGAAACAUGACGUAUACAGCCUGACACCUGCCCGGUGCUGGAAGGUUAAGAGGAGAUGUCAUCGCGAGAGAAGCGUUGAAUUGAAGCCCCAGUAAACGGCGGCCGUAACUAUAACGGUCCUAAGGUAGCGAAAUUCCUUGUCGGGUAAGUUCCGACCUGCACGAAUGGUGUAAUGAUCUGGACACUGUCUCAACCGUGAGCU
RNAcentral lists this ribosomal RNA (2008 nucleotides) under human gut metagenome. RNAcentral describes it as "bacterial LSU rRNA". It matches the Rfam family "Bacterial large subunit ribosomal RNA", at positions 1 to 2033 of the family's 2925-position model. The record is from RNAcentral.